GACGAACGCUGGCGGCGUGCCUAACACAUGCAAGUCGAACGGAAAGGCCCUGCCUUUGUGGGGUGCUCGAGUGGCGAACGGGUGAGCAACACGUGAGUAACCUGUCCCUCACUUUGGGAUAUCUUCAGGACACUGGGUCUAAUAUCGGAUAGGAUCUCCUGCUGCAGGGUGGGCCUUGGAUAGUUUCGGUGGUUGGGGAUGGACUCGCGGCUCAUCAGCUUGUUGGUGGGGUAGUGGCUUACCAAGGCAUUGACGGGUAGCCGACCUGCGAGGGGGACCGGCGACAUUGGAAGGGAGAUACGACACAGACUAGUAGGGGACGCAGGGGUGGAGAGUAGUAUACAAUAGACGGGAGGAUAGUGCAGCCACGCAACGUGGGGGAAGAGGGGCAUGGGGUAGGGAAGCAAUGUCGCCUGUAACGGGACGAGAAUGACGGUAAUGGGUAAAGAAGCACCGGCUAACUACGUG
Molecule: ribosomal RNA, 468 nt
Filed under: uncultured bacterium
Lineage: Bacteria
Description: partial 16S ribosomal RNA
Rfam family: Bacterial small subunit ribosomal RNA
Source: RNAcentral